RNAcentral lists this transfer RNA (70 nucleotides) under Dipodomys ordii (Ord's kangaroo rat). It matches the Rfam family "tRNA". From Rfam's summary of the family: Transfer RNA (tRNA) molecules are approximately 80 nucleotides in length. Lineage: Eukaryota; Metazoa; Chordata; Mammalia; Rodentia; Heteromyidae. The record is from Rfam by way of RNAcentral.
GGGAAUGUAGCUCAGUGGUAGAGUGCUUGCCUAGCAUGCAUGAAACCCUGGAUUUGAUUCCUCAGUACCA